RNAcentral lists this transfer RNA (69 nucleotides) under Littoraria ardouiniana. RNAcentral's name for it is "tRNA-Asp". The record is from RNAcentral. Lineage: Eukaryota; Metazoa; Mollusca; Gastropoda; Littorinimorpha; Littorinidae.
GAAAAAUUAGUUAAACUAUAACCUAAGAUUGUCAGUCUUAAAUUACUAAUGUGAACUUAGUAUUUUUCA